Molecule: transfer RNA, 88 nt
Filed under: Clostridium sp. ZS2-4
Lineage: Bacteria; Bacillati; Bacillota; Clostridia; Eubacteriales; Clostridiaceae
Description: tRNA-Ala
Source: RNAcentral
GGGUAUAGCUCAGUUGGGAGAGCACCUGCCUUGCACGCAGGGGGUNAAAAAAGACAGUCUUGUAGAAGACUGUCUUUUUUAAUAUUUA